GACUUAAAAUCCGUCGACUUUAAAAAUCGUGAGGGUUCAAGUCCCUCUAUCCCCAAAAAAGCCUAUUUGACUCCCAUUUAACCUAUCCCC
Molecule: transfer RNA, 90 nt
Filed under: Argylia bustillosii
Lineage: Eukaryota; Viridiplantae; Streptophyta; Magnoliopsida; Lamiales; Bignoniaceae
Description: partial tRNA-Leu
Source: RNAcentral